AGAGUUUGAUCCUGGCUCAGGACGAACGCUGGCGGCGUGCCUAAUACAUGCAAGUCGAACGCUUCUUUUUCCACCGGAGCUUGCUCCACCGGAAAAAGAGGAGUGGCGAACGGGUGAGUAACACGUGGGUAACCUGCCCAUCAGAAGGGGAUAACACUUGGAAACAGGUGCUAAUACCGUAUAACAAUCAAAACCGCAUGGUUUUGAUUUGAAAGGCGCUUUCGGGUGUCGCUGAUGGAUGGACCCGCGGUGCAUUAGCUAGUUGGUGAGGUAACGGCUCACCAAGGCCACGAUGCAUAGCCGACCUGAGAGGGUGAUCGGCCACAUUGGGACUGAGACACGGCCCAAACUCCUACGGGAGGCAGCAGUAGGGAAUCUUCGGCAAUGGACGAAAGUCUGACCGAGCAACGCCGCGUGAGUGAAGAAGGUUUUCGGAUCGUAAAACUCUGUUGUUAGAGAAGAACAAGGAUGAGAGUAACUGUUCAUCCCUUGACGGUAUCUAACCAGAAAGCCACGGCUAACUACGUGCCAGCAGCCGCGGUAAUACGUAGGUGGCAAGCGUUGUCCGGAUUUAUUGGGCGUAAAGCGAGCGCAGGCGGUUUCUUAAGUCUGAUGUGAAAGCCCCCGGCUCAACCGGGGAGGGUCAUUGGAAACUGGGAGACUUGAGUGCAGAAGAGGAGAGUGGAAUUCCAUGUGUAGCGGUGAAAUGCGUAGAUAUAUGGAGGAACACCAGUGGCGAAGGCGGCUCUCUGGUCUGUAACUGACGCUGAGGCUCGAAAGCGUGGGGAGCAAACAGGAUUAGAUACCCUGGUAGUCCACGCCGUAAACGAUGAGUGCUAAGUGUUGGAGGGUUUCCGCCCUUCAGUGCUGCAGCUAACGCAUUAAGCACUCCGCCUGGGGAGUACGACCGCAAGGUUGAAACUCAAAGGAAUUGACGGGGGCCCGCACAAGCGGUGGAGCAUGUGGUUUAAUUCGAAGCAACGCGAAGAACCUUA
RNAcentral lists this ribosomal RNA (995 nucleotides) under human gut metagenome. Its description in RNAcentral is "bacterial SSU rRNA". It matches the Rfam family "Bacterial small subunit ribosomal RNA", at positions 8 to 973 of the family's 1533-position model. The record is from RNAcentral.